RNAcentral lists this RNase MRP RNA (535 nucleotides) under Magnaporthiopsis poae ATCC 64411. RNAcentral describes it as "Magnaporthe poae ATCC 64411 RNase MRP". It matches the Rfam family "RNase MRP". Rfam says of the family: RNase MRP is an enzymatically active ribonucleoprotein with two distinct roles in eukaryotes. In mitochondria it plays a direct role in the initiation of mitochondrial DNA replication. The record is from Rfam by way of RNAcentral. Lineage: Eukaryota; Fungi; Ascomycota; Sordariomycetes; Magnaporthales; Magnaporthaceae.
CCCUCGUCCAAAAGAUCGCUAUUCGAAGCAUGAAAACACGGAGAAGGUGCUCGCACCGUCUCAACCAAUCCUCUGCUUUGGGGAAAGUCCCCGGACACACUUCUUGCGGAAACGCGCCGCCAUAGAAGCACUGCGGCUCAUCCCUGCUUGCUGUCUCUCGCGCCCACCUUGAACCGUUCUCUCCGCCCUCGUGGCGGCCAUCCUGCCUUUUCGGGACCGGUUUUGUGCACCUGUGCCAGACGCGCCCUCUCCGCCGCCGCUCCCCGUUGCCCUCAAUGGACGAAGAUAUGAGUCCGCGCUUCGGGACGGUGGUUGGGCAAUCUGGUCCGGUCUGAUCCUGGCUCCUUGGUAGGCAUGGAGGAUUGGUCAAGGCGGGCCCACGGGACGUUCAAGCCUGGCAUGGGAGCAUUUCGUCAGUUUCAUUCCACAACCACAGUUAUGCGAUCGAGCCACGUUCUGGUCUGUCAGUACUCCCCUCGGGAGGAAAGCUUGCCGGGUGUGGUUUUACACGAUGGGGCUUACUCUUGGUACGAGG